RNAcentral lists this ribosomal RNA (355 nucleotides) under uncultured bacterium. RNAcentral describes it as "partial 16S ribosomal RNA". It matches the Rfam family "Bacterial small subunit ribosomal RNA", at positions 338 to 710 of the family's 1533-position model. The record is from RNAcentral.
CCUACGGGUGGCAGCAGUGGGGAAUAUUGCACAAUGGGGGAGACCCUGAUGCAGCCACGCCGCGUGAGUGAUGACGGCCUUCGGGUUGUAAAGCUCUUUCUUCAGAGACGUUAAUUACGGUACCUGAGGAGGAAGCCACGGCUAACUACGUGCCAGCAGCCGCGGUAAUACGUAGGUGGCGAGCGUUAUCCGGAUUUACUGGGCAUAAAGGGAGCGUAGUCGGAUUUUUAAGUGAGAUGUGAAAUACUCGGGCUCAACUUGAAGACUGCAUUUCAAACUGGAAGCCUAGAGUGAAGGAGAGGAGAGUGGAAGUCGUAGUGUAGCGGUGAAAUGCGUAGAGAUUAGGAAGAACACC